RNAcentral lists this ribosomal RNA (497 nucleotides) under uncultured bacterium. RNAcentral describes it as "partial 16S ribosomal RNA". It matches the Rfam family "Bacterial small subunit ribosomal RNA", at positions 28 to 507 of the family's 1533-position model. The record is from RNAcentral.
GAUGAACGCUGGCGGCGUGCCUAAUACAUGUAAGUCGAGCGAACAGACGAGGAGCUUGCUCCUCUGACGUUAGCGGCGGACGGGUGAGUGACACGUGGAUAACCUACCUAUAAGACUGGGAUAACUUCGGGAAACCGGAGCUAAUACCGGAUAAUAUAUUGAACCGCAUGGUUCAAUAGUGAAAGACGGUUUUGCUGUCACUUAUAGAUGGAUCCGCGCCGCAUUAGCUAGUUGGUAAGGUAACGGCUUACCAAGGCAACGAUGCGUAGCCGACCUGAGAGGGUGAUCGGCCACACUGGAACUGGGACACGGUCCAGACUCCUACGGGAGGCAGCAGAAGGGAAUCUUCCGCAAUGGGCGAAAGCCUGACGGAGCAACGCCGCGUGAGUGAUGAAGGUCUUCGGAUCGUAAAACUCUGUUAUUAGGGAAGAACAAAUGUGUAAGUAACUAUGCACGUCUUGACGGUACCUAAUCAGAAAGCCACGGCUAACUACGUG